Molecule: ribosomal RNA, 156 nt
Filed under: uncultured bacterium
Lineage: Bacteria
Description: partial 16S ribosomal RNA
Rfam family: Bacterial small subunit ribosomal RNA
Source: RNAcentral
UGUCAAAGGAGCAAUCCGCUGAAAGAUGGACUCGCGUCCGAUUAGAUAGUAGGCGGGGUAACGGCCCACCUAGUCGACGAUCGGUAGCCGGACUGAGAGGUUGAACGGCCACAUUGGGACUGAGACACGGCCCAGACUCCUACGGGAGGCAGCAUG